AUUGAACGCUGGCGGCAGGCCUAACACAUGCCAGUCGAGCGGAUGAAGGGAGCUUGCUCCUGGAUUCAGCGGCGGACGGGUGAGUAAUGCCUAGGAAUCUGCCUGGUAGUGGGGGAUAACGUCCGGAAACGGGCGCUAAUCCCGCAUACGUCCUGAGGGAGAAAGUGGGGGAUCUUCGGACCUCACGCUAUCAGAUGAGCAUAGGUCGGUUUCGCUAGUUCGAGGGGUAAAGGCCUACCAAGGCGACGAGCCGUAACUGGUCUGAAAGGAUGGUCAGUCACCUUGGCACUGAGACAGGGUCGAGACUCCUACAGGGAGCAGCAGUGGAGAAUCUUGCGCGAUGGGCGAGAGGCUGAUCCAGGCAUGCCGGGUGUGUGAAGAAGGUCUUCGGAUUGUAGAGCACUGUAGGUUGGGAGGAAGGACAGUAAGUUAAUCCCUUGCUGUAUUGACGUUACCAGCAGAAUAAGCACCGGCUAACUUCGUG
This 484-nucleotide ribosomal RNA is filed under the name uncultured bacterium. RNAcentral's name for it is "partial 16S ribosomal RNA". It matches the Rfam family "Bacterial small subunit ribosomal RNA", at positions 30 to 507 of the family's 1533-position model. The record is from RNAcentral.